GACGAACGCUGGCGGCGUGCCUAAUACAUGCAAGUCGAGCGGACGGAUGGGAGCUUGCUCCCAGACCGUCAGCGGCGGACGGGUGAGUAACACGUGGGCAACCUGCCUGUAAGACUGGGAUAACUCCGGGAAACCGGGGCUAAUACCGGAUAACUCUUUCCCUCACAUGAGGGAAAGCUGAAAGAUGGCAUCUCGCUAUCACUUACAGAUGGGCCCGCGGCGCAUUAGCUAGUUGGUGAGGUAACGGCUCACCAAGGCGACGAUGCGUAGCCGACCUGAGAGGGUGAUCGGCCACACUGUGACUGAGACACGGCCCAGACUCCUACGGGAGGCAGCAGUAGGGAAUCUUCCGCAAUGGACGAAAGUCUGACGGAGCAACGCCGCGUGAGUGAUGAAGGUUUUCGGAUCGUAAAACUCUGUUGUCAGGGAAGAACAAGUACCGGAGUAACUGCCGGUACCUUGACGGUACCUGACCAGAAAGCCACGGCUAACUACGUG
RNAcentral lists this ribosomal RNA (498 nucleotides) under uncultured bacterium. Its description in RNAcentral is "partial 16S ribosomal RNA". It matches the Rfam family "Bacterial small subunit ribosomal RNA", at positions 28 to 507 of the family's 1533-position model. The record is from RNAcentral.